AUACGUAGGGUGCGAGCGUUGUCCGGAAUUACUGGGCGUAAAGAGCUCGUAGGUGGUUUGUCGCGUCGUCUGUGAAAUUCCGGGGCUUAACUCCGGGCGUGCAGGCGAUACGGGCAUAACUUGAGUACUGUAGGGGAGACUGGAAUUCCUGGUGUAGCGGGGAAAUGCGCGGAUAUCAGGAGGAACACCGGUGGCGAAGGGGGGUCUCUGGGCAGUAACUGACGCUGAGGAGCGAAAGCAUGGGUAGCGAACAGGAUUAGAUACCCUGGUAGUCCAUGCCGUAAACGGUGGGCGCUAGGUGUAGGGGUCUUCCACGACUUCUGUGCCGUAGCUAACGCAUUAAGCGCCCCGCCUGGGGAGUACGGCCGCAAGGCUAAAACUCAAAUGAAUUGACGGGG
Molecule: ribosomal RNA, 398 nt
Filed under: uncultured bacterium
Lineage: Bacteria
Description: partial 16S ribosomal RNA
Rfam family: Bacterial small subunit ribosomal RNA
Source: RNAcentral